CUAUACAUGCAGUCGACGCGUUGGCCCAAUUGAUUGAUGGUGCUUGCACCUGAUUGAUUUUGGUCGCCAACGAGUGGCGGACGGGUGAGUAACACGUAGGUAACCUGCCCAGAAGCGGGGGACAACAUUUGGAAACAGAUGCUAAUACCGCAUAACAACGUUGUUCGCAUGAACAACGCUUAAAAGAUGGCUUCUCGCUAUCACUUCUGGAUGGACCUGCGGUGCAUUAGCUUGUUGGUGGGGUAAUGGCCUACCAAGGCGAUGAUGCAUAGCCGAGUUGAGAGACUGAUCGGCCACAAUGGGACUGAGACACGGCCCAUACUCCUACGGGAGGCAGCAGUAGGGAAUCUUCCACAAUGGGCGCAAGCCUGAUGGAGCAACACCGCGUGAGUGAAGAAGGGUUUCGGCUCGUAAAGCUCUGUUGUUAAAGAAGAACACGUAUGAGAGUAACUGUUCAUACGUUGACGGUAUUUAACCAGAAAGUCACGGCUAACUACGUGCCAGCAGCCGCGGUAAUACGUAGGUGGCAAGCGUUAUCCGGAUUUAUUGGGCGUAAAGAGAGUGCAGGCGGUUUUCUAAGUCUGAUGUGAAAGCCUUCGGCUUAACCGGAGAAGUGCAUCGGAAACUGGAUAACUUGAGUGCAGAAGAGGGUAGUGGAACUCCAUGUGUAGCGGUGGAAUGCGUAGAUAUAUGGAAGAACACCAGUGGCGAAGGCGGCUACCUGGUCUGCAACUGACGCUGAGACUCGAAAGCAUGGGUAGCGAACAGGAUUAGAUACCCUGGUAGUCCAUGCCGUAAACGAUGAGUGCUAGGUGUUGGAGGGUUUCCGCCCUUCAGUGCCGGAGCUAACGCAUUAAGCACUCCGCCUGGGGAGUACGACCGCAAGGUUGAAACUCAAAGGAAUUGACGGGGGCCCGCACAAGCGGUGGAGCAUGUGGUUUAAUUCGAAGCUACGCGAAGAACCUUACCAGGUCUUGACAUCUUGCGCCAACCCUAGAGAUAGGGCGUUUCCUUCGGGAACGCAAUGACAGGUGGUGCA
RNAcentral lists this ribosomal RNA (1039 nucleotides) under Limosilactobacillus fermentum. RNAcentral describes it as "bacterial SSU rRNA". It matches the Rfam family "Bacterial small subunit ribosomal RNA", at positions 49 to 1045 of the family's 1533-position model. Lineage: Bacteria; Bacillati; Bacillota; Bacilli; Lactobacillales; Lactobacillaceae. The record is from RNAcentral.